AUUUCCAAAGUUCAGCUUUUUUACACUUUUUUUUCAGCUGUUUUCAGCUAUUUUGAUCAGUGGUCACUCACACCCCUGACUACAAAAGCCAAAGGUUUUGCAGCGAAAUUUACUGCUCCUUCUGUAGUGGAUAACCCCAUCAAAGAGGAUGUAGCGAAUAGUCUGAACUUCCUUAUGAGGGAAAAGCUCGAGGAGAAAAGCCUCACCGACACAGCUGAAAAAUAUCAGUGUCCUAGUAACUGCGACGCUCUUACUGUACCAAAGGUUAAUCCUCAAAUAUGGGACAACAUAUCAGCUAAAACCCGCUCCAGGCAUUUGAAACUGCAGAGAGUGCAGAAGCCACUCAUCAAAGGGAUUACAGCCCUGGCUCAAUCUUGUACUGGCACACUGACUGCCGAACAGGAGGAUGGCUACGCAUUGCUGGCAUCAGCCAAUGUUGAACUUAACAGUUUGCGAAAAGAGCUCAUCCGACCUGACAUGAACCAAAAAUAUGCUCACUUAUGCAAGCCGUCCACAAAAGUGACCCAAUUGCUAUUUGGUGAUGACUUGGGGAAACAGCUAGGUUAAAGAACUCCAAGAGGAGCAGAAAGCCACACUUGGCGUGAUGCGCUUCACACGACAACAACGAGGGGGGGGGGGGGUUUCAACUCUACCAUCCCUACAGCACUGAAAACAGACGCUUUCAGGCUGCAGGCUAGAAAACCAGUGGCAGUGCCACGUGCCAGUGCCCCCUUUUUUUAGGGGGAAACCGUCAAACCGUUGCACCGUCGUCCAUUCGGACCUGCGGCUCACAAUCAGCGAAGGACCCGGUCAGUCCCGAACCUCAAACAUGUAAAGAAGACGUCCUAAGUGACAUAAGACCUACUGCAAUGGAGACUGUCCGGCGAUCCUUCGAAGGCAGAGGAAUUCAAGAGGCAGCUACCAACAUCAUCAUGUCAUCCUGGCGACAAUCCACCCAGAAACAGUACAGUGGGUACAUCAAACGCUGGAUUGACUUUUGCAGUAAGAGGGCGACAAAUCCUAUGCACAACAAAUUGCCGUCCACAUUGUUACAUAUUUAACUGAACUUUUUAAUGUUGGGCUUAGUUACAACUCGUUAAAUGUUGCACGUAGUGCUCUUUCAUCGUUCGUUGUUUUAGAGGGUUAUUCUGCUGUUGGAAAUCACCCCUUGAUCAGCCGUUUUCUUAAAGGUGCAUACACACAAAGGCCCCCUGCACCAAGAUACAGUUCAAUUUGGGAUGUUCCAGUUGUAUUUGACUAUCUGCGCCGACUGUCUCCAGCCGGCACACUGUCCCUCAAAGACCUGACCCUCAAGUUGGCAAUGCUGAUUGCCUUGGUGACAGCACAGAGAACACAGACUCUGCACAAACUGCGUCUGGACAUGAUGCAGCUUAAACACGACGUGGUUAUCUUCACCAUUGCCGACCUGUUAAAGCAAAGUCGCCCUGGCAAUACUGGACUGGUGGUCACCUUGAAAGCAUAUCCACCAGACAGGCGUUUGUGUGUUCACACCUACCUAAAACAGUAUCUUGCUCGGACUGAACACCUACGACGCAAGGAACAUACCACAGAGCAACAGCUUUUCAUCAGUUUCAAACUCCCCCAUGCUGCUGUUAGCAAGGACACCGUUGCUUGGUGGUUGAACACAGUGCUGCUCCAAGCAGGAGUCGAUACAUCACAAUUCAAGGCGCACUCGACACGAGCAGCGGCAACGUCAGCUGCUCAUAAAUUGGGAGUGCCAAUUUCAGACAUUUUGAAAACUGCAGGGUGGGCGACAGAAACCACCUUUCAAAAGUACUAUAACACUCCAAAAAUGGCACACAGCCUGCUUUCCAGUUACGAUCCAACUUAAGAGGAAAGUCAUGCAUUCGUGCUGGCUUGAAUACAGUCAUGAGUUUUAUUAACAGUUGUUUUUGAACAAGUUUGUUGUUUUUCUAAAAAUUUACAAAAGGGAGACCCCAAUGGUGAGCUGUUGUGCUCACAUUUUCAGAUAAUAUGGAGUUUUCAGGUAUUUGCCAAGUUUAUUAACAUAAGACACAUACAGUGUACAUGUAUGUCAAUUUGUCUUGCCUCUUGCCCAGGAUAGGCAAUAAAUAAUUGAGGAAUGUGUACCAACAUAGUGUUUCCCUGAACAUGAAGGUUUGAGUGCAGUGAAAUUAAAGAAGUAAAACAGCACUAUAACACAGCUUUGGUUUCAUUGCAGUUUUGUUUAUUACAUUUAUGUGUACACAUCAAGACCAUUCAUGUUAAACACCCUUUGUUUAUCAUUUAUGUGGGCAAGAUAUUUGACCAGAUGCUUUAAAGUCUCACGGAAUCUCUCGCGAGAUUUCGAAAUAAAAUGAAGGGAUUAAAUGAGAACUUACCCUUACUCCCACCCUUUUUCAAUAAACAGGAUCAGUUCUCUAUA
Molecule: long non-coding RNA, 2407 nt
Filed under: Patiria miniata (bat star)
Lineage: Eukaryota; Metazoa; Echinodermata; Asteroidea; Valvatida; Asterinidae
Description: uncharacterized LOC119728901, transcript variant X1
Source: RNAcentral